RNAcentral lists this long non-coding RNA (1777 nucleotides) under Homo sapiens (human). RNAcentral's name for it is "HSALNT0164792". Lineage: Eukaryota; Metazoa; Chordata; Mammalia; Primates; Hominidae. The record is from RNAcentral.
GUGGGCGUUCGUUGGCCCCGCGGUUUCGGGCUCCUGCUUUCUGGGGACAGCCAGCAUGGCCCUGAAGUCCGCCGCCCUUCAGAGCGCGCCCCUCAGAGCCCAGGGGUGCCCGCGCCCGCUCCGGUCCCUCCGCCUUCUGCGGAAGGAAAACCAGGCCCUGGCUCGCUGGGACGGGUCCUUUCGGGGACUGCGGCUGCUUCCCUGUUCGUAGACUCAGCAGCCGGCGAUGUGACUUCAAGGCCCCCUCGAGCUCUGCCUUCUUAAAAAAUAAAACGUAGACCUCUCCUUAGCCAUGUGGGUUAUGUGAGAGCAGCCUGAUGUGGUGCUGCUAUUCAUUCAUUCAUUAGUUCAUUCACUCAUCUGGGAUCGAGAGCAUGGUGUGCCAGGCACCUUAGCAGAGCAGAAGACAGAGCGAGAACCCGGCAGACACCGCCACUGCUCCUGUGGGAUCUGAGGUUUAGUGGGGACACAAGGAAUUGAGCACAUGGCACGGAAAGUGCCCUUAAACCAGCCCGGGAAGAUGAAGGCGAGCUUCCUGGAGGAAGAGGCACCUAAGCUGAUGACUGAAGGAAAACGAUGUCUGUAUGGGUCUCCCCGGUUUUGCCCACAACUGCAGGGUCCUAUGGAUGCCCAGUGGAGCCCACGGUGAGAACCUGAGGGUGAGGCUGAAGAGACCAUGCUCCCCUGUGAUGGAGAAACUGAAAUUCAAGAGGCUAAGAAACCUAACCCACAGCCUGCAGCCUGAGAGAGGAGGAGAGCUGAAAUUGGAACCCAGCUCCAUGGAACUCCAGAGUGGGAUCAUGCAGCAACUUGAGGGCUGAGCUAGCACUUCCAUUGACUCAUGGUGUGAAAUAUUUAAUCCAUGUGGUUGCUCCUCCAGGGACCCUCUCAUGUGGUAGGGAGAGCUGCUGUGGAUGGGAAAACCCUGUUUAUAGAAAUUGCCAAUAGCACAAAGCACAUGGUAGGUGCUUAAUAAAUAUUUACCUAAUAAACACCUAAUAUUUUUUCCUUUGUAGAAUUGAGGAACUGAGCCCUGGAGGGUAGAGUAGAAUGUGUUACACUGAGACCCUCUCCUCCCCUGCCUCAUCCUUGGCUUUAAAGCCCUGUGCAGUCAGCUGGAGAGACCAGUGUCCUGGGCCCUUGCCCUGCAAGGAGGCUGGGCUGGGUGGGAUUCCCAUGGAAAGUUCCUCCCGCAGGCCACUAAUGGGGAUGGGAGGCACUGCCUGGGGAUGGGAGGCACUGCCUGGCCAUGUGCAGCUUCUUCUCGUUUGUUUCUGCUGAGUCCUAAUAUGAUUAAUCCUCUUCUGGGUGAUGAGAAAAGAAUACACAAUGAAGGAGAUUCUGCCCUUGUCCUCACCUCCUAUACAGAAGUCCGGGCUCCCUUUCAGCUGGCACAAACCCUGACACUUAUAAGACAAGACCAUCUGUGUUGGAGGGGCUUCCCAGGCCUGUGCUUUGCAGGUACACCCAGCAUCUCAAGCAUGUAUCCCUCUGAGAAAGGAGACAGUCCAUUGUGUGUGUGUGUGUGUCUGUCUGUGUGUGUGUGUUGGGGGUGGGGAGCUCACUUGUCAGAAAUUUGCCACCAGGAUCCUGUGCCUUUCCUUUAAGGGGAGAAUACUUGUUUCUUACUGUGGGCACUUUGGACCCCCUUAUAUUACAGGCAUAAUGUCUCUGUGCUUUGUUAGGGAAGUGGAGCAACUCAGAAGAGGCCACUGGCUGGGACAGGUGAUGUCCCUUUCUCUGCCUUGUUUCUUAGGUCUCUCUAUUUAUUUAUUUC